This 1196-nucleotide ribosomal RNA is filed under the name Escherichia coli. Its description in RNAcentral is "partial 23S ribosomal RNA". It matches the Rfam family "Bacterial large subunit ribosomal RNA", at positions 361 to 1564 of the family's 2925-position model. The record is from RNAcentral. Lineage: Bacteria; Pseudomonadati; Pseudomonadota; Gammaproteobacteria; Enterobacterales; Enterobacteriaceae.
AGGGUGACAGCCCCGUACACAAAAAUGCACAUACUGUGAGCUCGAUGAGUAGGGCGGGACACGUGGUAUCCUGUCUGAAUAUGGGGGGACCAUCCUCCAAGGCUAAAUACUCCUGACUGACCGAUAGUGAACCAGUACCGUGAGGGAAAGGCGAAAAGAACCCCGGCGAGGGGAGUGAAAAAGAACCUGAAACCGUGUACGUACAAGCAGUGGGAGCACGCUUCGGCGUGUGACUGCGUACCUUUUGUAUAAUGGGUCAGCGACUUAUAUUCUGUAGCAAGGUUAACCGAAUAGGGGAGCCGAAGGGAAACCGAGUCUUAACUGGGCGUUAAGUUGCAGGGUAUAGACCCGAAACCCGGUGAUCUAGCCAUGGGCAGGUUGAAGGUUGGGUAACACUAACUGGAGGACCGAACCGACUAAUGUUGAAAAAUUAGCGGAUGACUUGUGGCUGGGGGUGAAAGGCCAAUCAAACCGGGAGAUAGCUGGUUCUCCCCGAAAGCUAUUUAGGUAGCGCCUCGUGAAUUCAUCUCCGGGGGUAGAGCACUGUUUCGGCAAGGGGGUCAUCCCGACUUACCAACCCGAUGCAAACUGCGAAUACCGGAGAAUGUUAUCACGGGAGACACACGGCGGGUGCUAACGUCCGUCGUGAAGAGGGAAACAACCCAGACCGCCAGCUAAGGUCCCAAAGUCAUGGUUAAGUGGGAAACGAUGUGGGAAGGCCCAGACAGCCAGGAUGUUGGCUUAGAAGCAGCCAUCAUUUAAAGAAAGCGUAAUAGCUCACUGGUCGAGUCGGCCUGCGCGGAAGAUGUAACGGGGCUAAACCAUGCACCGAAGCUGCGGCAGCGACACUAUGUGUUGUUGGGUAGGGGAGCGUUCUGUAAGCCUGUGAAGGUGUACUGUGAGGUAUGCUGGAGGUAUCAGAAGUGCGAAUGCUGACAUAAGUAACGAUAAAGCGGGUGAAAAGCCCGCUCGCCGGAAGACCAAGGGUUCCUGUCCAACGUUAAUCGGGGCAGGGUGAGUCGACCCCUAAGGCGAGGCCGAAAGGCGUAGUCGAUGGGAAACAGGUUAAUAUUCCUGUACUUGGUGUUACUGCGAAGGGGGGACGGAGAAGGCUAUGUUGGCCGGGCGACGGUUGUCCCGGUUUAAGCGUGUAGGCUGGUUUUCCAGGCAAAUCCGGAAAAUCAAGGCUGAGGCGU